AUGCUGGAGGUAUCAGAAGUGCGAAUGCUGACAUAAGUAACGAUAAAGCGGGUGAAAAGCCCGCUCGCCGGAAGACCAAGGGUUCCUGUCCAACGUUAAUCGGGGCAGGGUGAGUCGACCCCUAAGGCGAGGCCGAAAGGCGUAGUCGAUGGGAAACAGGUUAAUAUUCCUGUACUUGGUGUUACUGCGAAGGGGGGACGGAGAAGGCUAUGUUGGCCGGGCGACGGUUGUCCCGGUUUAAGCGUGUAGGCUGGUUUUCCAGGCAAAUCCGGAAAAUCAAGGCUGAGGCGUGAUGACGAGGCACUACGGUGCUGAAGCAACAAAUGCCCUGCUUCCAGGAAAAGCCUCUAAGCAUCAGGUAACAUCAAAUCGUACCCCAAACCGACACAGGUGGUCAGGUAGAGAAUACCAAGGCGCUUGAGAGAACUCGGGUGAAGGAACUAGGCAAAAUGGUGCCGUAACUUCGGGAGAAGGCACGCUGAUAUGUAGGUGAAGUCCCUCGCGGAUGGAGCUGAAAUCAGUCGAAGAUACCAGCUGGCUGCAACUGUUUAUUAAAAACACAGCACUGUGCAAACACGAAAGUGGACGUAUACGGUGUGACGCCUGCCCGGUGCCGGAAGGUUAAUUGAUGGGGUCAGCGCAAGCGAAGCUCUUGAUCGAAGCCCCGGUAAACGGCGGCCGUAACUAUAACGGUCCUAAGGUAGCGAAAUUCCUUGUCGGGUAAGUUCCGACCUGCACGAAUGGCGUAAUGAUGGCCAGGCUGUCUCCACCCGAGACUCAGUGAAAUUGAACUCGCUGUGAAGAUGCAGUGUACCCGCGGCAAGACGGAAAGACCCCGUGAACCUUUACUAUAGCUUGACACUGAACAUUGAGCCUUGAUGUGUAGGAUAGGUGGGAGGCUUUGAAGUGUGGACGCCAGUCUGCAUGGAGCCGACCUUGAAAUACCACCCUUUAAUGUUUGAUGUUCUAACGUGGACCCGUGAUCCGGGUUGCGGACAGUGUCUGGUGGGUAGUUUGACUGGGGCGGUCUCCUCCUAAAGAGUAACGGAGGAGCACGAAGGUUGGCUAAUCCUGGUCGGACAUCAGGAGGUUAGUGCAAUGGCAUAAGCCAGCUUGACUGCGAGCGUGACGGCGCGAGCAGGUGCGAAAGCAGGUCAUAGUGAUCCGGUGGUUCUGAAUGGAAGGGCCAUCGCUCAACGGAUAAAAGGUACUCCGGGGAUAACAGGCUGAUACCGCCCAAGAGUUCAUAUCGACGGCGGUGUUUGGCACCUCGAUGUCGGCUCAUCACAUCCUGGGGCUGAAGUAGGUCCCAAGGGUAUGGCUGUUCGCCAUUUAAAGUGGUACGCGAGCUGGGUUUAGAACGUCGUGAGACAGUUCGGUCCCUAUCUGCCGUGGGCGCUGGAGAACUGAGGGGGGCUGCUCCUAGUACGAGAGGACCGGAGUGGACGCAUCACUGGUGUUCGGGUUGUCAUGCCAAUGGCACUGCCCGGUAGCUAAAUGCGGAAGAGAUAAGUGCUGAAAGCAUCUAAGCACGAAACUUGCCCCGAGAUGAGUUCU
Molecule: ribosomal RNA, 1557 nt
Filed under: Escherichia coli
Lineage: Bacteria; Pseudomonadati; Pseudomonadota; Gammaproteobacteria; Enterobacterales; Enterobacteriaceae
Description: bacterial LSU rRNA
Rfam family: Bacterial large subunit ribosomal RNA
Source: RNAcentral